GCUGACUUAGCUCAGUAGGUAGAGCAACUGACUUGUAAUCAGUAGGUCGGGGGUUCAACUCCUCUAGUCAGCACCA
RNAcentral lists this transfer RNA (76 nucleotides) under Entomoplasma ellychniae. RNAcentral describes it as "tRNA-Thr". It matches the Rfam family "tRNA". Rfam says of the family: Transfer RNA (tRNA) molecules are approximately 80 nucleotides in length. Lineage: Bacteria; Bacillati; Mycoplasmatota; Mollicutes; Entomoplasmatales; Entomoplasmataceae. RNAcentral also lists the same sequence under 1 other name. The record is from RNAcentral.